GAUUUGCAGAAGUUUUUUAGUUUGAUGAUGUCCCACCUAUUGAUUUUUAGUUUUAUUUCUUGCAAUUUAGGAGUCUUUUAAGGAAGUUGGUUCCUGUGUCAAUAUGUUAGAAUGUUGGACCUUGAUUUUCUUCUACUAAUUACAGAGUUUCUGAUCUAAUUCCUAGGUCUUUAAUUCACUUUGAGUUGAGUUUUGUGCAGAGUGAGAGAUAGGGGCCCAGCUUAAUUAUUCUGCAUGCAGAUAUCUAAUUUUCCCAGCACCAUUUGUUAAAAAGACUAUCCUUUCUUCAACAUAUAUUUUUAGCACUUUUGUCUAGUACCAGAUAGCUGUAUUUAUGUGGUUUUGUCUCUACAUAUUCCAUUCUAUUCCACUGGUCUUCCCGUCUGUUUUGGUGCCAGUACCAUGCUGUUUUUACUAUAACUCUGUUUUAUAAUUUGGGGUCUGGUAUUCUGAUACUUCCUGCUUUACUCUCUGAGCUCAUUAUUGUUUUGGCUGUUUGGAGUCGCUUAUUUUUCCAAAUAAGUUUUAGUACUUCUUUUUCUAGUUCUGGGGAAAAUGUCAUUGGCAUUUUGAUAGGGAUUACAUUGAGUCUGUGUAUUGGUUUUGAUAGUAUGGCCAUUUUUACAAUAUCAAUUCUACCUAUCCAAGAACAUGGGAGGACUUUCCAUCUAAGUUCAUCUUCAAUUUCUUUCUACAAUGUUCUAUAGUUUUCCUUAUAGAGGUCUUUCCAUUAAAUUAAUUCCCAGACCUUUUUUUUAGAUUAUUGUAAAUGGGAUAGUUUAUCUAAUUUCUUUUGUCAGCAGUUUCAUUAUUGGAGUAUAGGAAAACAAUUGAUUCAUGUGUAUUGAUCUUACGUGCUUAUAUUUUGCUGAAUUCAUUUAUGAGCUCUGGAAGUCUUCUGGAGAUUUUUUUAUAACUUCUACAUAUAACAUUAUGUCAUCAGCAAACAUGGAUAAUUUGAUCUCUUCUUUUCCUAUUUGUAUUCCAUUUAAUUUCCUUCUGUUGCCUGAUCACCCUGGCUAAAAUUUCAAGGACUAUGUUGAAUAGGAGUGGUAAGUGUGGGAAUUCUUGUCUUAUUCCUGUUUUUAAAGGAAAUGUUUUCAGUUUUUCUCCAUUCAGUAUGAUGUUGACCUUAGGUGUGUAAUAUACAGUCUUUACAAUGUUGAGUUAAGUUACUUCUCUCCUAACUACUCAAGUGUUUUAAACAUAAAUGGGUAGUCUACUUUGACAAAUGCUUUUUUGGCAUCUAUUAAUAAAAUAAUGUGAUUCUUGUCCUUAACUCUACUUAUGUGAUAAAUCACAUUUAUUGAUUUAUGUAUGUUGAACCAAACUUGCAUCCGUG
RNAcentral lists this long non-coding RNA (1342 nucleotides) under Marmota monax (woodchuck). Lineage: Eukaryota; Metazoa; Chordata; Mammalia; Rodentia; Sciuridae. The record is from RNAcentral.